RNAcentral lists this long non-coding RNA (900 nucleotides) under Gallus gallus (chicken). Its description in RNAcentral is "lncRNA (ENSGALG00010026857.1)". Lineage: Eukaryota; Metazoa; Chordata; Aves; Galliformes; Phasianidae. The record is from RNAcentral.
AUAUAAUACAGCUUUCUAUUUGUACUGUGAUAUUAUUAAAAGUAAAUUAUUUCCUGUUAAACAAAACAAACAAACAAAAAAAAAAACAUGGAAAUUUAGAGGAAAAUAGGGCUUAUCAAGUCAAACAGGAUCCAACAUAAUUUUAAGUGUAUCCGUCAGAAAAUUCUAAAACAUUUUUUACACUGUGAGUAAAAAAAGUCUCCCUCCAUAGCACCCACUGAACAGACUGCAGCUCAACAGCAGCUUCAUUCUGGUGCUGGAUUGAGGCGGGUGGCUGCAUUGCAAUGCCAACGACACAGCUGAAGUUGGGGGCACGUAGGCGGCACUGGGAAGCCAGCAUACGGUUCAGAGACAGUGGUGGCUCUACUCACCAAAAGGGCUUGGUGGCUGCCAAGUUAGUCCUGACAUCCUUCAAACUCCAAAACAGAAAGAAGAGAGGAAGAAACAAGAAGGCACUUUCAACCAGAGACUGCACCAAUACAACAGAGGAGGCUGUUUGAGGUCUAGUAGCCCUCAAAUCUCAUCUCUUUUACUUUCACAUCUGAGAAGAAGUAAAGAAGUGGCUCUCAGUAUGACCAGUGCUUUCCUUCAUUGCCAAGGCUGCUUUAGACUUCACUGCAGUAAGGAGAUUCUGGACUUCAUGGCAAAUCAGCUCAGCUGCAGCCGGCACCCAGGCACAUUUGGAGUAUACAGCUCAGAGGGCGGAUUUCUGGCGCAUUGGCAAACCCAGGUGAAACAUAUGAAAAUAUUCCAUCUUGUGACUCUCCCCCACUUUUAAGAGGAGGCAAAAGGUAUCAGCAGCAGGAGCAGGCGGUGCGCUGCUCCGUGCACUGUGAUUCACACUGAAACACCGUAGGAGGACUCAUCAAGAAGGAUACUUCCUGUGCUUUGGGACUUGAU